RNAcentral lists this ribosomal RNA (382 nucleotides) under uncultured fungus. Its description in RNAcentral is "SSU rRNA". It matches the Rfam family "Eukaryotic small subunit ribosomal RNA", at positions 827 to 1208 of the family's 1831-position model. Lineage: Eukaryota; Fungi. The record is from RNAcentral.
CGUGUGGUUCUAUUUUGUUGGUUUCUAGGACCGCCGUAAUGAUUAAUAGGGACAGUCGGGGGUGUCAGUAUUCAAUUGUCAGAGGUGAAAUUCUUGGAUUUAUUGAAGACUAACUACUGCGAAAGCAUUCACCAAGGAUGUUUUCAUUAAUCAGUGAACGAAAGUUAGGGGAUCGAAGACGAUCAGAUACCGUCGUAGUCUUAACCAUAAACUAUGCCGACUAGGGAUCGGGCGAUGUUAUUUUUUGACUCGCUCGGCACCUUACGAGAAAUCAAAGUUUUUGGGUUCUGGGGGGAGUAUGGUCGCAAGGCUGAAACUUAAAGAAAUUGACGGAAGGGCACCACCAGGAGUGGAGCCUGCGGCUUAAUUUGACUCAACACGG